Long non-coding RNA from Ictalurus punctatus (channel catfish), 4123 nucleotides. Lineage: Eukaryota; Metazoa; Chordata; Actinopteri; Siluriformes; Ictaluridae. The record is from Ensembl.
GAAAAACGCGAUCACGUGACCAAUGAGGCCGCGGGCGCGUUCUAAUUCUAGAAUCAGAACCUACGGACACACUUACAUGUAGGGGUGUGAAAGAGCGCGCGGCGAUAGAAAGUGCAGACUAAAGUUUUCAGUGAAGCCGAACGUUGCAGACGUUUUUCCAUAACUCACGUGCAGAAAUAUCUAAGCAUAAAAAGAGAGAGGAGAGAAAAGGGCUCCUGAGGAGAUCCAGGAUGGAAUGGAAUGAGCAGACUGUGCAGACAAGUACAGAGGACAGUGUAGCAAAGGAGAAGGAGGAAUGUAAGACAGCGGGAGACAUGGGAGAACCAAAGGAAGUGGAAGUCAGCUACGAGUUGGUGGAGGAGGAAGUGCAGUCGGGUUCAGAGGGAGAGCAGCAGCAGGUGCAGAGUGUGCAGACAAGUACAGAGGACAGUGUACCAAAGGAGGAAUGUAAGACAGCGGGAGAAAUGGGAGAACCAAAGGAAGUGGAAGUCAGCUACGAGUCGGUGGAGGAGGAAGUGCAGUCGGGUUCAGAGGGAGAGCAGGUGCAGAGUGUGCAGACAAGUACAGAGGACAGUGUACCGAAGGAGGAAUGUAAGACAGUGGGAGAAAUGGGAGAACCAAAGGAAGUGGAAGUCAGCUACGAGUCAGUGGAGGAGGAAGUGCAGUCGGGUUCAGAGGGAGAUCAGCAGCAGGUGCAGAGUGUGCAGACAAGUACAGAGGACAGUGUGCCAAAGGAGAGGGAGGAAUGUAAGACAGUGGGAGACAUGGGAGAACCAAAGGAAGUGGAAGUCAGCUACGAGUCGUUGAUGGAGGAAGUGCAGUCGGGUUCAGAGGGAGAGCAGGUGCAGAGUGUGCAGACAAGUACAGAGGACAGUGUUCCAAAGGAGAGGGAGGAAUGUAAGACAGUGGGGGACAUGGGAGAACCAAAGGAAGUGGAAGUCAGCUACGAGUCGUUGAUGGAGGAAGUGCAGUCGGGUUCAGUGGGAGAGCAGCAGCAGGUGCAGUGUGUGCAGACAAGUACAGAGGACAGUGUUCCAAAGGAGAGGGAGGAAUGUAAGACAGUGGGGGACAUGGGAGAACCAAAGGAAGUGGAAGUCAGCUACGAGUCGUUGAUGGAGGAAGUGCAGUCGGGUUCAGUGGGAGAGCAGCAGCAGGUGCAGAGUGUGCAGACAAGUACAGAGGACAGUGUACCAAAGGAGGAAUGUAAGACAGCGGGAGAAAUGGGAGAACCAAAGGAAGUGGAAGUCAGCUACGAGUCAUUGAUGGAGGACGUGCAGUCGGGUUCAGAGGGAGAGCAGGUGCAGAGUGUGCAGACAAGUACAGAGGACAGUGUACCAAAGGAGAUGGAGGAAUGUAAGACGGUGGGAGAAAUGGGAGAACCAAAGGAAGUGGAAAUCAGCUACGAGUCGGUGGAGGAGGAAGUGCAUUCGGGUUCAGAGGGAGAGCAGGUGCAGAGUGUGCAGACAAGUACAGAGGACAGUGUUCCAAAUGAGAAGGAGGAAUGUAAGACAGUGGGAGAAAUGGGAGAACCAAAGGAAGUGGAAAUCAGCUACGAGUCGGUGGAGGAGGAAGUGCAGUCGGGUUCAGAGGGAGAGCAGCAGCAGGUGCAGAGUGUGCAAACAAGUACAGAGGACAGUGUAACAAAGGAGAAGGAGGAAUGUAAGACAGUGGGAGAAAUGGGAGAACCAAAGGAAGUGGAAAUCAGCUACGAGUCGGUGGAGGAGGAAGUGCAGUCGGGUUCAGAGGGAGAGCAGCAGCAGGUGCAGAGUGUGCAAACAAGUACAGAGGACAGUGUAACAAAGGAGAAGGAGGAAUGUAAGACAGUGGGAGAAAUGGGAGAACCAAAGGAAGUGGAAGUCAGCUACGAGUCAUUGAUGGAGGACGUGCAGUCGGGUUCAGAGGGAGAGCAGGUGCAGAGUGUGCAGACAAGUACAGAGGACAGUGUACCGAAGGAGGAAUGUAAGACAGUGGGAGACAUGGGAGAACCAAAGGAAGUGGAAGUCAGCUACGAGUCAUUGAUGGAGGACGUGCAGUCGGGUUCAGAGGGAGAGCAGGUGCAGUGUGUGCAGACAAGUACAGAGGACAGCGUACCAAAGGAGAUGGAGGAAUGUAAGACAGUGAGGGACAUGGGAGAACCAAAGAAAGUGGAAAUCAGCUACGAGUCGGUGGAGGAGGAAGUGCAGUCGGGUUCAGUGGGAGAGCAGCAGCAGGUGCAGAGUGUGCAGACAAGUACAGAGGACAGUGUACCAAAGGAGAGGGAGGAAUGUAAGACAGUGGGAGAAAUGGGAGAACCAAAGGAAGUGGAAGUCAGCUAUGAGUCGUUGAUGGAGGAAGUGCAGUCGGGUUCAGAGGGAGAGCAGCAGCAGGUGCAGAGUGUGCAGACAAGUACAGAGGACAGUGUACCAAAGGAGAGGGAGGAAUGUGAAUCAGUGGGAGGCAUGGGAGAACCAAAGAAAGUGGAAGUGAGUCGGUGGUGGAGGUGGUGGAGGAAGUCAGUGGGUAGUGGUAGUGGUGGGGGAGGAAGUCAGGCGGUGGUGGAGUCGGUGGUGGAGUCGGUGGUGGAGGAAGUGCAGUCAGGUACAGAGGGAGAGCACCAGCGGACCGAGCCGGAGGACGAGGGGAACGAAUGCACUAAACCGGACAGAGAAAAAGCAGAGAUUGAGGAGAAGCUGCUGGAGAAAGACAGCAUGCUGAAAAAACUGCAAGAGGAAAAGGAAGAGAUGGCCAAAAAGAUAAGAGAGCUUGAGAAGAACAGAGAGAAACUCGAGGAGAUCAUAUGGAAGAAAGAUCAUAGAGCUGCAGCAGAUUUUCAGAAGGAACGGGAGGGGAAAGAUAGCGCUCAUCUGACGCUCUUGGAGGAUUUAAUGAGGAGGGUUAUGAAUCUGGAAAAAGCCAAAGCCCAGAGAAGUGAGGAGAGAGAGAGAGAGAGAACAGACAAUACCGACAAGUCUGUGGUGAAGGAGGGGCAUACGGAAGCCGGGUUUACUAGAAUCAGAGAGCAGCAGGAUAGAGAGGAGGCCGAGCUGGAGAAGGUGAGGAAGAAACGUGUUGAAAUAGAGAGAGAAAAACAAGAGAUGGUGGCCUACUGGAGAGAGCAGCACAGGACGUGGUCUUGGCAUCCGCAAGAGAAAAACGCCACAAUGAAAAGAACGCAAAAGAGAAAGAAAAAGAUAGUCAAGAAGAUACAACUGCUUGAGGAGAUAAGCGAGAGACAACAUCUCAAGCAGAUGGACUUGAUGAAUCUGCUAGAAGAAACGGAGAAAGAGUUUAAGAAGGAGCUGGAGGAGAAAGAAAGAGCUCAACUUGCUGUCACUGAGCAGUUACUGGCCAAGAUAGAGUAUCUGAAUCAAAGCCAGGCUCAGAUAGAAGAGGAGAGAGAGCAGCUCCAGACAGAGCUGCAGCUGAGAGAGAUAGAGGCUAGAGAAGCUGGGAUGGAAAGUCUGCCUGAUGUUAAGAUGGGUGCAGAAAUGCAGACUGAAGAAGUGCAGGAGGACCAAGACAGCCCGAAGAUGCAAGAGGCGGACGACAGGAACGUUGAGCUUCUGCAAUACAUCAGUCAGCUACAGGCUUACAACGCGCACUUUGCAGAACGAGUACAGAUAGCAGAGGUGAGGAGAGAUAUCUUGGAGAAAGAUCAAGAGAGCUGGAAGAGAGAGAGAGAGAACUGGAAGAAAGAGAGAGCAUGCUGGGAGGAAGCAUCAGAAAGAUGGAAGGAAGAGAGAAGCACCUUAAUGAAAGAGAAUGAUGGCUUAAAGAAAGAGAGGGUGACCUGGGAGACAGAGAGAGAGAUGUGGGAGAGAGAGAAAAUAAUCUGGGAGAAAUUGACAGGGAACACAGAGAAAGAGCGUGGGAGCAAAAAGAGGAAAAAGUGAGAAAAAAAGCAUACUUGGUUUUAGAAAGAGAGCAGUGGCAGCAGGAGAAAGAAAUAUCCAUCCAUUCAUCCAUCCAUCUUCUACCGCUUACUCCUUUUCAGGGUCACGGGGAACCUGGAGCCUAUCCCAGGGAGCAUCGGGCACAAGGCGGGGUACACCCUGGACAGGGUGCCAGAGAAAGAAAUAUCAUGUAGUAUAAAUAAAAGAUCAUUUUCUCCUUGUUUAAUUAUAAAGUUUUAAUAAAGUUCUUC